This 468-nucleotide ribosomal RNA is filed under the name uncultured bacterium. RNAcentral's name for it is "partial 16S ribosomal RNA". It matches the Rfam family "Bacterial small subunit ribosomal RNA", at positions 28 to 507 of the family's 1533-position model. The record is from RNAcentral.
GACGAACGCUGGCGGCGUGCUUAACACAUGCAAGUCGAACGGAAAGGCCCUGCUUUUGUUGGGUUCUCGAUUGGCGAACGGGUGAGUAACACGUGUGUAACCUGCCCUUGACUUUGGGAUAACUUCAGGAAACUGGGGCUAAUACCGGAUAGGAUCUCCUGCUGCGUGUGGGGGGUUGGAAAGUUUCGGCGGUUGUGGCUGGACUGGCGGGUUAUGAGCUUGUUGGUGUGGUAGUGGCUUACCAAGGCUUUGACGGGUAGCCCGCCUGAGAGGGUGAACGGCCACCAUGGGACUGAGAUACGGACCAGACUCCUACCGGAGGCAGCAGUGGAGAAUAUUGCACAAUGGGGGGAAGUGUGAUGCAGAAACGCCGCGUGCGGGAUGCCGGGCUUCGGGUUGUAAACCGAUUUCGACUGUGACGAAGAGUGCGUGACGGUAAUGGGUCAAGAAGCCCCGGCUAACUACGUG